AAAAAAAAUGAAAAACA
This 17-nucleotide small RNA is filed under the name Arabidopsis thaliana (thale cress). RNAcentral's name for it is "ATSL047240". The record is from RNAcentral. Lineage: Eukaryota; Viridiplantae; Streptophyta; Magnoliopsida; Brassicales; Brassicaceae.